RNAcentral lists this ribosomal RNA (253 nucleotides) under uncultured Parabacteroides sp. RNAcentral's name for it is "partial 16S ribosomal RNA". It matches the Rfam family "Bacterial small subunit ribosomal RNA", at positions 524 to 776 of the family's 1533-position model. The record is from RNAcentral. Lineage: Bacteria; Pseudomonadati; Bacteroidota; Bacteroidia; Bacteroidales; Tannerellaceae.
UACGGAGGAUGCGAGCGUUAUCCGGAUUUAUUGGGUUUAAAGGGUGCGUAGGUUGUUUUUUAAGUCAGCGGUGAAAGUUUGUGGCUCAACCAUAAAAUUGCCGUUGAAACUGGGGGGCUUGAGUAUGUUUGAGGCAGGCGGAAUGCGUGGUGUAGCGGUGAAAUGCAUAGAUAUCACGCAGAACCCCGAUUGCGAAGGCAGCCUGCCAAGCUACUUCUGACGUUGAGGCACGAAAGCGUGGGGAGCAAACAGG